RNAcentral lists this ribosomal RNA (471 nucleotides) under uncultured bacterium. Its description in RNAcentral is "bacterial SSU rRNA". It matches the Rfam family "Bacterial small subunit ribosomal RNA", at positions 328 to 793 of the family's 1533-position model. The record is from RNAcentral.
CAGCCAGACUCCUACGGGAGGCAGCAGUGAGGAAUAUUGGUCAAUGGGCGGGAGCCUGAACCAGCCAAGUCGCGUGAGGGAAGACGGUCCUAUGGAUUGUAAACCUCUUUAGGCGGGGAGCAAUGCCGGGCACGCGUGCCCGGAGGGAGAGUACCCGCAGAAUAAGCAUCGGCUAACUCCGUGCCAGCAGCCGCGGUAAUACGUAUGGUGCAAGCGUUAUCCGGAUUUACUGGGUGUAAAGGGAGCGCAGGCGGCGCGUUAAGCCUGGUGUGAAAGCCCGCGGCCCAACCGCGGGACUGCAUUGGGAACUGGCGCGCUGGAGUGCCGGAGGGGUAGGCGGAAUUCCUAGUGUAGCGGUGAAAUGCGUAGAUAUUAGGAGGAACACCAGUGGCGAAGGCGGCCUACUGGACGGUGACUGACGCUGAGGCUCGAAAGCGUGGGGAGCAAACAGGAUUAGAUACCCGCGUAUCG